Molecule: ribosomal RNA, 254 nt
Filed under: uncultured bacterium
Lineage: Bacteria
Description: partial 16S ribosomal RNA
Rfam family: Bacterial small subunit ribosomal RNA
Source: RNAcentral
UACGUAGGGUGCGAGCGUUAAUCGGAAUUACUGGGCGUAAAGCGUGCGCAGGCGGUCUGUUAAGACCGAUGUGAAAUCCCCGGGCUUAACCUGGGAACUGCAUUGGUGACUGGCAGGCUUUGAGUGUGGCAGAGGGAGGUAGAAUUCCACGUGUAGCAGUGAAAUGCGUAGAGAUGUGGAGGAAUACCGAUGGCGAAGGCAGCCUCCUGGGCCAACACUGACGCUCAUGCAUGAAAGCUAGGGGAGCAAACGGG